GUGUCAGCAGCCGCGGUAAGACAGAGGCCCCGAGCGUUAGGCGGAAUCACUGGGCUUAAAGCGUGUGUAGGCGGACGCCUAAGUGUCUUGUGAAAUCCCACGGCUCACCCGUGGAACCGCUGGGCAUACUGGGCGUCUUGGGCCGUUCAGGGGCGACUGGAACAAGCGGUGGAGCGGUGAAAUGCGUAGAUAUCGCUUGGAACGCCGAAGGUGAAAACAGGUCGCUGGGGACGCGCCGACGCUGAGACACGAAAGCCAGGGGAGCAAACGGGAUUAGAUACCCGGGUAGUCC
This 292-nucleotide ribosomal RNA is filed under the name uncultured bacterium. Its description in RNAcentral is "partial 16S ribosomal RNA". It matches the Rfam family "Bacterial small subunit ribosomal RNA", at positions 505 to 796 of the family's 1533-position model. The record is from RNAcentral.